AGAACUGUGGGCAGCUAGAGUACCUACCAGAUGGGCUCAAGAACCUGACAUCACUCAUGCGUUUCGAGAUUUCAGACUGUCCUCAGCUUUUAUGCUUGCCAAAUGAUGGUCUGCCAACUAAACUUCAGUUCUUGAGCAUCAACAACUGUCCGGAGCUCGGGCGACGGUGCAAAGUUGAGGAAGGUGAAGACUGGCCCAAGAUUGAGCACAUCUUCUCGGUAUGGAUUGAUAAGCAACUAGUGGGUCAUCUAGUUCAGCCUCAAUACGAAGAUCAGAGCACGCGCCCACUGUAUGAAGGGCAAAGCUCAGGGCAAUAAAUCGGAAUGAUUGCAAAGGUGCCAUCACCUCUAUCAUGGUAUGCUAUCCUAUAAAGGCAGGUAUCAAGGCAAUGAAUUCAUUUCAUAGUUUGAUGUUUCUAUCGUGAUGUGGAGCAGCAAAGUCUCACGGAUGGGUAUCAUAUGAUGAGGAGCAUAGCUUCAGAUGCUCUCUCUCUCUCUCUCUCUCUCUCUCUCUCUCUCUCUCUCUCUGUGUGUGUGUGUGUGUGUGUGUGUGUGUGUGUGUGUGUUUGUGCUUUAUAAGUCAAGAUCUUGGAAGUGUCAGGAGCAUGGCUUUUGGUGCUUGCAGUAUUCCUUGUGAGGACUUUGAUGCAGUUACAUUCUAAGUUCCAUACUCUGUACUUUGAUUUGUCAUGAACCCACGAUCAGUUUCAAAACUUCUUUAUGUACUUGUGGUUCAAAACACAGAGUAAUUGCCUCAAAAGAGAGAAGGAUGAGGUUUUGAGAGAAUCCAAAAUAGAUAAGUCAUACCAAAUGAUAGCCCUAGGUACAACAUUUCUACCACAUAUGACAGAUGGACAGAUGGACAGAUGGAAUUGAACAAUACUGCUG
This is an RNA transcript of Phoenix dactylifera (date palm), 887 nucleotides long. It is a transcript of the gene named putative disease resistance protein RGA3, with no coding region annotated. NCBI's taxonomy places the organism in Eukaryota, Viridiplantae, Streptophyta, Magnoliopsida, Arecales, Arecaceae. The record is from RefSeq and is a predicted model, not a curated record.